RNAcentral lists this ribosomal RNA (506 nucleotides) under uncultured bacterium. RNAcentral's name for it is "bacterial SSU rRNA". It matches the Rfam family "Bacterial small subunit ribosomal RNA", at positions 33 to 518 of the family's 1533-position model. The record is from RNAcentral.
ACGCUGGCGGCGUGCCUAAUACAUGCAAGUCGAGCGAAUGAUUAGAGAAGCUUGCUUCUCUCUGAUUUAGCGGCGGACAGGUGAGUAACACGUGGGUAACCUACCCUAUAGACUGGGAUAACUUCGGGAAACCGGAGCUAAUACCGGAUAAUACUUUUGAACUCAUGUUCGAUUGUUGAAAGAUGGUUUCGGCUAUCACUAUAGGAUGGACCCGCGGCGCAUUAGCUAGUUGGUGAGGUAACGGCUCACCAAGGCAACGAUGCGUAGCCGACCUGAGAGGGUGAUCGGCCACACUGGGACUGAGACACGGCCCAGACUCCUACGGGAGGCAGCAGUAGGGAAUCUUCCACAAUGGACGAAAGUCUGAUGGAGCAACGCCGCGUGAGUGAAGAAGGAUUUCGGUUCGUAAAACUCUGUUGCAAGGGAAGAACAAGUAGCGUAGUAACUGGCGCUACCUUGACGGUACCUUGUUAGAAAGCCACGGCUAACUACGUGCCAGCCGCUGC